This 1381-nucleotide ribosomal RNA is filed under the name uncultured bacterium. RNAcentral's name for it is "bacterial SSU rRNA". It matches the Rfam family "Bacterial small subunit ribosomal RNA". The record is from RNAcentral.
AGGUUGAGUGUGGCUCACGAUGAACGCUGACAGAUACUGCUUAACACAUGACAAAUGCAACUUGAAUUUGGGUUUUUAACUUAUGUUUGGGUGGCGGACGGGUGAGUAACGCGUAAAGAACUUGCCUCACAGUUAGGGACAACAUUUGGAAACAAAUGCUAAUACCUAAUAUUAUGAUAAUAGGGCAUCCUAUAAUUAUGAAAGCUAUAAGCGCUGUGAGAGAGCUUUGCGUCCCAUUAGCUAGUUGGACAGGUAACGGCUCACCAAGGCGAUGAUGGGUAGCCGGCCUGAGAGGGUGAUCGGCCACGAGGGGACUGAGACACGGCCCUUACUCCUACGGGAGGCAGCAGUGGGGAAUAUUGGACAAUGGACCAGGAGUCUGAUCCAGCAAUUCUGUGUGCACGAUGAAGUUUUUCGGAAUGUAAAGUGCUUUCAGUUGGGAAGAAAGAAAUGACGGUACCAACAGAAGAAGUGACGGCUAAAUACGUGCCAGCAGCCGCGGUAAUACGUAUGUCACGAGCGUUAUCCGGAUUUAUUGGGCGUAAAGCGCGUCUAGGUGGUUAUGUAAGUCUGAUGUGAAAAUGCAGGGCUCAACUCUGUAUUGCGUUGGAAACUGUAUAACUAGAGUACUGGAGAGGUAAGCGGAACUACAAGUGUAGAGGUGAAAUUCGUAGAUAUUUGUACGAAUGCCGAUGGGGAAGCCAGCUUACUGGACAGAUACUGACGCUGAAGCGCGAAAGCGUGGGUAGCAAACAGGAUUACAUACCCUGGUAGUCCACGCCGUAAACGAUGAUUACUAGGUGUUGCGGGGUCGAACCUCAGCGCCCAAGCAAACGCGCUAAGUAAUCCGCCUGGGGAGUACGUACGCACGUAUGAAACUCAAAGGAAUUGACGGGGACCCGCACACGCGGUGCAGCAUGUGGUUUAAUUUGACGCAACGCGAGGAACCCUACCAGCGUUCGACAUCUUAGGAGUGAGAUAGAGAUAUUUCAGUGUCCCUUCGGGGAAACCUAAAGCCAGGUGGUGCAUGGCGGUCGUCAGCUCGUGUCGUGAGAUGUUGGGUUAAGUCCCGCAACGAGCGCACACCCCUUUCGUAUGUUACCAUCAUUAAGUUGGGGACUCAUGCGAUACUGCCUACGAUGACUCGGAGGAAGGUGGGGAUGACGUCAAGUCAUCAUGCCCCUUAUACGCUGGGCUACACACGUGCUACAAUGGGUAGAACAGAGAGUUGCAAAGCUGUGAAGUGGAGCUAAUCUCAGAAAACUAUUCUUAGUUCGGAUUGUACUCUGCAACUCGACUCCAUGAAGUUGGAAUCGCUAGUAAUCGCGAAUCAGCAAUGUCGCGGUGAAUACGUUCUCGGGUCUUGCACACACCGCCCGUC